CCUACGGGUGGCAGCAGUGGGGAAUAUUGGACAAUGGGGGGAACCCUGAUCCAGCCAUGCCGCGUGUGUGAAGAAGGCCCUCGGGUUGUAAAGCACUUUCAGUGAGGAAGAACGCCUGGUGGUUAAUACCCAUCAGGAAAGACAUCACUCACAGAAGAAGCACCGGCUAACUCCGUGCCAGCAGCCGCGGUAAUACGGAGGGUGCGAGCGUUAAUCGGAAUUACUGGGCGUAAAGCGCGCGUAGGUGGCUUGAUAAGCCGGUUGUGAAAGCCCCGGGCUCAACCUGGGAACGGCAUCCGGAACUGUCAAGCUAGAGUGCAGGAGAGGAAGGUAGAAUUCCCGGUGUAGCGGUGAAAUGCGUAGAGAUCGGGAGGAAGACCAGUGGCGAAGGCGGCCUUCUGGACUGACACUGACACUGAGGUGCGAAAGCGUGGGUAGCAAACAGGAUUAGAUACCCCUGUAGUC
Molecule: ribosomal RNA, 465 nt
Filed under: Vreelandella stevensii
Lineage: Bacteria; Pseudomonadati; Pseudomonadota; Gammaproteobacteria; Oceanospirillales; Halomonadaceae
Description: partial 16S ribosomal RNA
Rfam family: Bacterial small subunit ribosomal RNA
Source: RNAcentral